GAUGAACGCUGGCGGCGUGCCUAAUACAUGCCAGUCGAGCGAACAGAUGAGGAGCUUGCUCCUCUGACGUUAGCGGCGGACGGGUGAGUAACACGUGGAUAACCUACCUAUAAGACUGGGAUAACUUCGGGAAACCGGAGCUAAUACCGGAUAAUAUAUUGAACCGCAUGGUUCAAUAGUGAAAGACGGUUUUGCUGUCACUUAUAGAUGGAUCCGCGCCGCAUUAGCUAGUUGGUAAGGUAACGGCUUACCAAGGCAACGAUGCGUAGCCGACCUGAGAGGGUGUUCGGCCACACUGGAACUGAGACACGGUCCAGACUCCUACGGGAGGCAGCAGUAGGGAAUCUUCCGCAAUGGGCGAAAGCCUGACGGAGCAACGCCGCGUGAGUGAUGAAGGUCUUCGGAUCGUAAAACUCUGUUAUUAGGGAAGAACAAAUGUGUAAGUAACUAUGCACGUCUUGACGGUACCUAAUCAGAAAGCCACGGCUAACUACGUG
Molecule: ribosomal RNA, 497 nt
Filed under: uncultured bacterium
Lineage: Bacteria
Description: partial 16S ribosomal RNA
Rfam family: Bacterial small subunit ribosomal RNA
Source: RNAcentral